Helianthus annuus (common sunflower) is the source of this 1359-nucleotide long non-coding RNA. RefSeq lists it as uncharacterized. The transcript has 6 exons. The record is from RefSeq and is a predicted model, not a curated record. Lineage: Eukaryota; Viridiplantae; Streptophyta; Magnoliopsida; Asterales; Asteraceae.
CUAUCUAUUACACUAAAAUAAUUCAACUUUGCCACAUGUCCCUAUUCUUGGCCAAUCAAUUGGUUGAUGUAGACACCCUCUUUGGCCAGAUAAUUCACAAUGGGCGCCAAUCUAUUUCCUAUAUCUCCUUCUCACGUACGUUUCUUCCCACAGUCAUCUCUCUCCUCAACCUUUCCAUAUCUUAUUUUGCCAAUUGCAAACCUAGGUGUUUAAAGCAAGGAUUGAAAGCAACGAUUGAAGGCAACAACGAGGCGAUUCUCUGAUGCAUCCUAAAUCGUUUCCCUCUGAACUAGAUCUUGACCUUCAAACUUCAAAGAUCCAGAAAGAAUUUGAGGGCUAGGGUAUGAGAUCGGAUUCUGAUUGUGUGAAACGUAAUCGUUUUUGUUCAGAUCUGGUUUUAGUUCUUUGAAUAAAUUGGUUCUCAUACAUUUUUUUGGAAGAGGCUUUCUAUUCAGGUAUAAAUCUUCAAUGGAAAGAUUGCCGGAUUGCAAAAGCUUAGCAAGAAUUGCUUUUGAAUGUAAUUCUGCAGGUGCUUCGAAGAUGUGGUAUGGUGUAUGUGGGAAAGAUGGUAUUAAAUUGGAGGCGAUGUGAGAAGACGUAAACCCCCAAAUAUCGGAGAAGGAGACUGUCUACAUAAUAGACAUAGCUUACAUCAGCACAACCGCGGUAGAUGGGCGAUACCAGACGAUGAAACAGAAAAUUGGUCGAAAGAGGUGCUUGAAUUCUACAACAGAGGCGACACGCCAUUCUGUUAUUCAGCUGUUUUUAAUAGAUCCAUACAGCUUGACAAAAACUUUUGUGGAACUUUAUUGGGAUUUCGUUUCAACGGCUAUCUCAACGAAACAGUAAAUUAUAUCAACAAUUUUACGUAAACUGUUUUUGUUAAAAUAUGUUACUAACACUACAAUUUUUACAGCAUAUCGAAGCCUGGGUUGGAAGACUGAUGAAUUGGAGAAGUAGAAAGCUUCAAAAAGACCUGUUGUUAAAUUUACGUUGGACAAUACUACCACCAAAGUUUUAUGAGUGUUUAUUGGAAUCGGUUCCGAAAAACGUGGCUACUUACUGUAAUGGUAAAUUAAGCCCGUUUCCUUCCUUUUUUAACAUUGAUUAUGUUUUUUUCCCGAUCCCCCUAGAAAAUAAGGAGUGGCUAAUGCUACGUCUUGAGCUGGCAACCCAACAUCUGGUAAUGUUCCCCGGUCAAGACAUAUGUGCAGGCGAAAAAUACAGACAAGUUGUCAUCCCUAGGCUGACAAAAAUAUGCGUAUAUUUAGGAGCAGUAUUAGUUAAUAUGCGCUACUGGAACACAUGUAAACAACUUCAUUUCUAUUUGGAGACUAUCGGAAGGCGGAUAGAUUGGCA